AGGAGAGUUUGAUCCUGGCUCAGGAUGAACGCUGGCGGCGUGCCUAACACAUGCAAGUCGAACGAAGCAUCUUCCUCGGAGAUUCGUCGAAGAGGGAUUUGACUUAGUGGCGGACGGGUGAGUAAUGUAUGAGCAACCUGCCUUUCAGAGGGGGACAACAGUUGGAAACGACUGCUAAUACCGCAUAAUGUAUCGAGGGGGCAUCCUUUUGAUACCAAAGGAGCAAUCCGCUGAAAGAUGGGCUCAUAUCUGAUUAGUUAGUUGGUAGGGUAACGGCCUACCAAGACUGCGAUCAGUAGCCGGACUGAGAGGUUGAACGGCCACAUUGGGACUGAGAUACGGCCCAGACUCCUACGGGAGGCAGCAGUGGGGAAUAUUGGGCAAUGGGCGAAAGCCUGACCCAGCAACGCCGCGUGAAGGAAGAAGGUCUUCGGAUUGUAAACUUCUUUUAUGAGGGACGAAGGACGUGACGGUACCUCAUGAAUAAGCCACGGCUAACUACGUGCCAGCAGCCGCGGUAAUACGUAGGUGGCAAGCGUUAUCCGGAUUUACUGGGUGUAAAGGGCGCGUAGGCGGGGAUGCAAGUCAGAUGUGAAAUCUAUGGGCUUAACUCAUAAACUGCAUUUGAAACUGUAUCUCUUGAGUGCUGGAGAGGUAGACGGAAUUCCUUGUGUAGCGGUGAAAUGCGUAGAUAUAAGGAAGAACACCAGUGGCGAAGGGGGUCUACUGGACAGUAACUGACGCUGAGGCGCGAGAACGUGGGGAGCAAACAGGAUUAGAUACCCCUGGGUAUCCCCU
This 798-nucleotide ribosomal RNA is filed under the name uncultured Bacillota bacterium. RNAcentral's name for it is "bacterial SSU rRNA". It matches the Rfam family "Bacterial small subunit ribosomal RNA", at positions 1 to 799 of the family's 1533-position model. The record is from RNAcentral. Lineage: Bacteria; Bacillati; Bacillota.